This 278-nucleotide ribosomal RNA is filed under the name uncultured bacterium. Its description in RNAcentral is "partial 16S ribosomal RNA". It matches the Rfam family "Bacterial small subunit ribosomal RNA", at positions 511 to 788 of the family's 1533-position model. The record is from RNAcentral.
GCAGCCGCGGUAAUACGAGGGGUGCGAGCGUUGUUCGGAAUCACUGGGCGUAAAGGGAGCGUAGGCGGAAAGUCAAGCGAUCUGUAUAAUUCCGGGGCCCAACUCCGGCCUUGCAGAUCGGACUGUCUUUCUUGAAUAGUUCAGGGGCAAGCGGAAUUCCUGGUGUAGCGGUGGAAUGCGUAGAGAUCAGGAAGAACACCGAUGGCGAAGGCAGCUUGCUGGGGACUUAUUGACGCUGAGGCUCGAAAGUGCGGGUAGCAAACAGGAUUAGAUACCCC